RNAcentral lists this small RNA (148 nucleotides) under Chrysemys picta bellii (western painted turtle). Its description in RNAcentral is "TUC338 (ENSCPBG00000011880.1)". The record is from RNAcentral. Lineage: Eukaryota; Metazoa; Chordata; Testudines; Emydidae.
UUGACAGGUAGGAAGAAGUAGGUACAGCACAAACAGCAGCAGUGCAGCUUUCUCCACACUGCCCCACCCACCAAUGUACUGCAAUGGAGGCCACCUCCAAGACCAAAGGGGAAUUCAGAUUCCAUGGUUCCUUGAGACCUUGACCUCC